RNAcentral lists this ribosomal RNA (924 nucleotides) under Cladosporium herbarum. Its description in RNAcentral is "LSU rRNA". It matches the Rfam family "Eukaryotic large subunit ribosomal RNA", at positions 23 to 973 of the family's 3401-position model. Lineage: Eukaryota; Fungi; Ascomycota; Dothideomycetes; Cladosporiales; Cladosporiaceae. The record is from RNAcentral.
ACCCGCUGAACUUAAGCAUAUCAAUAAGCGGAGGAAAAGAAACCAACAGGGAUUGCUCUAGUAACGGCGAGUGGAGCAGCAAUAGCUCAAAUUUGAAAUCUGGCGUCUUCGACGUCCGAGUUGUAAUUUGUAGAGGAUGCUUCUGAGUGGCCACCGACCUAAGUUCCUUGGAACAGGACGUCAUAGAGGGUGAGAAUCCCGUAUGCGGUCGGAAAGGCGCUCUAUACGUAGCUCCUUCGACGAGUCGAGUUGUUUGGGAAUGCAGCUCUAAAUGGGAGGUAAAUUUCUUCUAAAGCUAAAUAUUGGCCAGAGACCGAUAGCGCACAAGUAGAGUGAUCGAAAGAUGAAAAGCACUUUGGAAAGAGAGUUAAAAAGCACGUGAAAUUGUUAAAAGGGAAGGGAUUGCAACCAGACUUGCUCGCGGUGUUCCGCCGGUCUUCUGACCGGUCUACUCGCCGCGUUGCAGGCCAGCAUCGUCUGGUGCCGCUGGAUAAGACUUGAGGAAUGUAGCUCCCUCGGGAGUGUUAUAGCCUCUUGUGAUGCAGCGAGCGCCGGGCGAGGUCCGCGCUUCGGCUAGGAUGCUGGCGUAAUGGUCGUAAUCCGCCCGUCUUGAAACACGGACCAAGGAGUCUAACAUCUAUGCGAGUGUUCGGGUGUCAAACCCCUACGCGUAAUGAAAGUGAACGGAGGUGAGAACCGCAAGGUGCAUCAUCGACCGAUCCUGAUGUCUUCGGAUGGAUUUGAGUAAGAGCAUAGCUGUUGGGACCCGAAAGAUGGUGAACUAUGCCUGAAUAGGGUGAAGCCAGAGGAAACUCUGGUGGAGGCUCGCAGCGGUUCUGACGUGCAAAUCGAUCGUCAAAUUUGGGUAUAGGGGCGAAAGACUAAUCGAACCAUCUAGUAGCUGGUUCCUGCCGAAGUUUCCCU